GACGAACGCUGGCGGCGCGCCUAACACAUGCAAGUCGAACGAGCGAGAGAGAGCUUGCUUUCUCGAGCGAGUGGCGAACGGGUGAGUAACGCGUGAGGAACCUGCCUCAAAGAGGGGGACAACAGUUGGAAACGACUGCUAAUACCGCAUAAGCCCACGGGUCGGCAUCGACCAGAGGGAAAAGGAGCAAUCCGCUUUGAGAUGGCCUCGCGUCCGAUUAGCUGGUUGGUGAGGUAACGGCCCACCAAGGCGACGAUCAGUAGCCGACCUGAGAGGGUGACCGGCCACAUUGGGACUGAGACACGGCCCAAACUCCUACGGGAGGCAGCAGUGGGGAAUAUUGCACAAUGGGGGAAACCCUGAUGCAGCGACGCCGCGUGAGCGAAGAAGUAUUCGGUAUGUAAAGCUCUAUCAGCAGGGAGAAAAAAUGACGGUACCUGACUAAGAAGCACCGGCUAAAUACGUG
Molecule: ribosomal RNA, 466 nt
Filed under: uncultured bacterium
Lineage: Bacteria
Description: bacterial SSU rRNA
Rfam family: Bacterial small subunit ribosomal RNA
Source: RNAcentral